This is a non-coding RNA of Rhodocollybia butyracea, 97 nucleotides long. The record is from the annotation of a GenBank genome assembly. Lineage: Eukaryota; Fungi; Basidiomycota; Agaricomycetes; Agaricales; Omphalotaceae.
GGUUCAAUGGUGUAGUGGUUAUCGCAUCUGUCUUACAUUCGGGUUUUGGUACUUUGUUGUACACAGAAGGUCUCUGGUUCGAUAUCGGGUUGAACCA